CACAAAGUAAACUGCACGCUUUAGUUGUGAAGCAAAAACGCUGAAACCGGAGAAAUAAAACGUGCGAGGGGAAUGAUAACGACGACAAGAGUCUCCCGAUCGUUUACUGUUGCUGUCCUGUGAACAACACCGGCGUGGUGUUAAUUGUUUGCUGUUUUCGCGAUCGCGUCGCGCAUGAGGAUAUCACCAGCGAGGUUUUCGGAAAGUUGAUCCAAGCUCCUUUAGGAGAUGACGUUGAGUUUCGGCUGUCAGAGGAGUGCCUGAAGGGACGGGGGAGACUGAAUCUGCGAAGGAAUGAUGCCACCACGCAGCUGAUCGCCUCCCUGGAAAACGUCUGGAAACCCGGACCACAACAUCCAGACCGCGUGAAUCAAAGUGGGCUCUUUCUCAUCCUGGAAAACGCAGAUCUGAACGACGAAGGGCUGUACGAGUUUACGUGCAACGGCAAAGACUUGGAAGCGAUCAAGCUGGAAGUAUUUGUCCCCUCUGAAGUUGAUGUAUCCGAGGGCGAGGAUGCCACACUCCCGUGCCGCUCCGUCACCGCGGGCCAGUCGGUGAAAUCUGCGCGCUGGAGGAGAAAUGGAAACGCGGUGCUUCAGCUGGAUGGAACAGGAGGAAUCACAUACGAGGAAGACGUUAACACAAGCCGGGUGUCGAUACCAUCAGAGUGGGACCGACAAGCAGACCUGUCCCUCACCAUAAAGAGAGUCCAGCAACAAGAUGAAGGAGUUUAUUACUGUGACAUAGACAAGGCAGAGAAACACCGCUCUGCUGUCCGCCUGCGAGUCCGUCCCGAAGUCCCCACAGCAGCCGGUAGCACACCUCUGCCUACAACCACACCGACGCCAUCAGAGUCCUCUGAUAGGACAUGGAUCACAGUGAUCACAGUCCUUGUAACAGCAGCUGUAACAUCUGGGAUCGUUGGUCCUCUGACUUUCCUCUUGGGCCGGAAACGGAGGAGAGAAACAAGAGAUGAAGAGACCGGAGCCCAACAAAACGGACGCCAUACCACCAAUAAUGAUCAGUCAUCAGGAGAUCAGCACGUCUCUACAAAUGGCUUUAAAAGGCCACCUGGUGCUCCAGAGGAAAUUACCCUACUGCCCAUUAAUAAUAAUAAUAAUAACAAUAAUAAUAAUAAUAAUAAUAAAGAAUAACGAAUGAAAUAAACAUAAUUUUUUAAAUAAAGAAACUGGUUGUUUUACUUGGAGACGCUCAUUAGUGUCUCCAUGUCUUCCUAUCGUGUCUAACUUCAUGUUCUGUUAUCACUAAAAGUUGUAAAAUGUUGUAUCACUAAAAUAUCAUUCUCAGUCAGUUGUUACUUAUUGUUUACAGCGCCCUAUGUGGUUGCUCCAAGUAAUGCGCUUUAGAAACGGCUUUAUUUUGGAAAAAACUUUAUUGAACAGGAAGUCCGCUCAGUCAAGCAAAGCAAGUGAGCAAGAAGAAGGGAAACAUAUCGGCACACAGUUUAUGGUGUCCUGUUGGAAAAAAUACUGCCCACAUCUUCUGUUUAUGGUUGUAUCGCCGCCAUCAGAGUCCUCUGAUAGGACAUGGAUCACAGUGAUCACAGCGAUCCUUGUAACAGCAGCUGUAACAUCUGGGAUCGUUGUUCCUCUGGCUUUCCUCUUGGGCCGGAAACAGAGGAGAGAAACAAGAGAUGAAGAGACCGGAGCCCAACUAAACGGGUGCCACACCACCAAUAAUGAUCAGUCAUCAGGAGAUCAGCACGUCUCUACAAAUGGCUUUAAAAGGCCACCUGGUGCUCCUGAGGAAAUUACCCUACUGCCC
Oreochromis aureus is the source of this 1785-nucleotide long non-coding RNA. Lineage: Eukaryota; Metazoa; Chordata; Actinopteri; Cichliformes; Cichlidae. The record is from Ensembl.